RNAcentral lists this long non-coding RNA (11188 nucleotides) under Populus trichocarpa (black cottonwood). RNAcentral's name for it is "long non-coding RNA (PTRI_LNC002039)". The record is from RNAcentral. Lineage: Eukaryota; Viridiplantae; Streptophyta; Magnoliopsida; Malpighiales; Salicaceae.
ACAAGUCAGACGUGUAUAGUUUCGGAAUGUUAGUGUUAGAAAUGGUUGGUGGAAGGAAAAAUGUUGAUGAUACAGCAGAAAAUGGUGAUCAAGUAUACUUCCCAGAAUGGAUUUAUAAUCUCUUAGAAGAAGGAGAAGACCUGCGGUUCCAAAUCGAGGAAGAAGGGGAUGCUGAAAUUGCGAAGAAGCUAGCCAUUGUAGGACUGUGGUGCAUCCAGUGGAACCCAGUGGACCGUCCUUCCAUGAAAAUUGUUGUCCAGAUGCUGGAAGGUGAAGGAGACAGGUUAAGUACACCUCCUAAUCCUCUUAGCUCCACAGCUGCAAAGAGAACGAAUACAGGUAUGCUAAGGAGGCAUCUUCAUCAAGAGUUGGCAGCCAUCUCAGAAACAGAGUAAUCAUAUAUUUUGAGGUCAUCAUUGCUUUCAAGGCUGUGAUCAAAGCAUGCAUUUGAUUGAGAAUAUGGGGAUGAAACUGUAUUUGCUUGCAAGAUUAGUUUUUAAAUUGUAUUUCUUAAACUUCAUGAUGGUGCAGUGUAUUUUCAGGACUCUUGGUGUGUGUCCUAAAAAUUUUAAAUUUGUUUUUAAAAUUUUUAAAAUUACUUGGUUGUGUUGUCACGCUUUGAAAAAUUUUAAAUUUGUUUUUGUUUUAAAUUAUAUAUAUAUUAUGUUUUUAAAUUUUUUUGAAGCAUUAAUAUCAAAAUUAAUUUUUAAAAAAUAAAAAAAUAUAUUUUAAUAAAUUUUCUAGUAAAAAUUAUUUUAAAAAAUAACUUCUCUAUUGAGUUCCAACUUCUCCUUACUAAAAAAAUUUAAAGAAGAAUUGAUAGCAAAUACUAACGAACUUGGAGAUAGAAAGGAUUCAAUCACGAUAUAUUUGAAAUUAUAUGGACUCAAUUGUUAAACUUUCAUAUUUUAUGGCAACUUAAGAAUUGUUAUUGAUUGGGUCCUUAAAGUUUCAGGUAUUUCUCAAUCGGCUUCUUCUUUUCAUUUCCAUUACUUUUAUAUUUUUUCCUUUGACAGAAAGGAUUGAGUCAAGAUAUAUUUAAAAUGUUAGGGACUCAAUUGUUAUGCUAAACUUCUAUAUUUUGUGACAAAUUAAGAAUUUAGUAAUGCUUUAAAGGUUAAUUUGAGUUUCCUCUAUAAUUAAACAACACCUUGAAUAGCUUGUUGCCUUCUUCGAGUGGUAAACUGCGUAUUAUUUGAGACUGUAGAUUCUCUUUUUAGAUAUUAUUAAUUUUUUUAAUAUAAAACAAAAAAUUAAUCGUUGCAACAUUGCUAACCUUUUUUUAAUAAAAAAUUAAAUCAUAUACAAAUUAACUUAAAAUAACACAUUUAACUUGAUGAAUUAAAAAAACAACUUGAAUAACUAUUAACAACAUGAUUUGAUGAUAUUUUUUUAAAAAAAUAUUAAGAUAAAAACAUAUUGGAUCGACUCAGAUCAACUUAAAUUAACUUGUUAAUUUUACGACUUGAAUCAUGAGACAAAAAUAUCCCUAUAUAAAGUAAGUCAAAACAAAUUAUAAAAUCCAAAUCUCAAUCAACCCAAUAUUGAAAAAUGAACUUGAAUUUUUUAAAAAAAAAAAAGAUAAAAGAAAAACCUAAAUUAACCCAAGCUAAUCUGUCAAAUCUAUGACAUGAAUCAUCAAACCAUGAUAAACCUAUAAAAAAUAAAUAAAUAAAAAUUAUAAAGUUUAAUUCCUAAUUAACCAAAUGUUGAACGAAAAAAUUAAAAAAAAUCAAUUAAAAAACAGACAAAAAACAAAACACUCAAGUAAACUUGCCAAACUCAUAAUCUAGGUCAUAAGAUCGAGAUAACUUUAUAGAAAGUAAACAAAAAAAAUUGACCCGGAUAAACCCGAGUUACACUACGAAACCCAUGUCGCAGGUCAUGAAACUAAGAUAACUAUAUAUAUAUAUAACGAAUCAAAACAAAUUAUAAAACAUAAUUCUUAAUCAACCCAUUGUUGAAAAAAAAAAUUGAAAAAAAAAUUCAAUCUAGAAAAAGAACAAAAUAAAAUGACUCAAGUCAAUCUAAAUUAACCCGUAAAAUUCAUGAUUCAGGUUAUGAGACUAUGAUAAUUUAAUAGGAAAUAAGCUUAAAAGAAUCUCGAAGUCUAAUUCUUAAUCAAUAUAAUAUUGAAGGAUAAAAUUAAAAAAUAAUACAAAUUAAAAAAAAAAAAAAACAAAUUAACCAAUUAAAUUCGCAACACAUGUCAUGAGACCAGAUACCAAUAUAUAAACAAACCAUUUUUUAUUUUGUUUUUGUUAAUGUGACCAAUCCCUCAAAGUGAAAAACAUGAAAAAUAUCCCCCUCUCUCUCAGGCCAUGGUUUCAGUCACUAAUUAAGAACCACCACCACUCCUCCUAUAAGCCACCCAAGAACCACCACUUGAGCCUUGUCUUGCAUCAUCCUAUACUCAACCAGAAAAGAAAACUGAUUAGCUUAGACUUUGAAAGGGAAAUAAAAUUAGGUUAACAAAGCAGAGUAAGAACAAAGUGCACUAAAGUGAGGCUGCCAUUGUAAAACUGAACAACAAAUAUGUAGAUCCAGUACAUUGAUCACCAUCAAUCAUAAGAACAUAUGUUGCUCAGCUGCAACAAUUUCUGUUUGUUAAGUUUUUUCAGCAAGGAAACCAACAACAUCCGGCAUAACAUGGCAAGAAAAACUUUUCCUAGAAGCAGUAUGAAAUAUUCCUAGGAUGGCAGAGAACUCAGUCUUCAUAAAAAUUGCAAAAGUAUUUCGAUAUUUGCGUUAAAUUGUUUCAUUUGAUGAGGAGAGUUUAUAUUAGAUGUUUUUGUACCUUAAAAGUUCAUGAAAAAAAUAGAUUUGAACUCGAGUUGAAUUUUGAUUUCAGGUUGAAUUUGGUUUUUGGAGCGAUUUUUUUAUUUUUGUUUUUGGAGGCCAUGAAUAGGUUUGUCAUGGUUUCUAAGAUGUUUUAUAAGUGUUUUAGAUCAAAAAGGGGAUGAAAAACAAGUUUUGAGUCAAAAGAACAUAAAUCCUGAUUUUGUGGCCAUCACAGUGGUUGGAAUUUAGACAAAACAGGCGACGUGUCAACUGGUUUUUUAAAGAAAAUGGGCAAACAAAAUGUUGUCUACCCCAAGCACAGAUAAGAAAAAAAAGAGUUCAAUCAUGCGGGCCCUUGUAAAAUGGGUCAGGCAAGUAGGUCAGACCCAACAAUGUCUAGCUUUUUUUCCCCUAAUUAUCAUUUUUUAUUUCAAUUGAUGCUUUUUUUAAAAAAAAAAACUUAAUUAUAUUUACAUUAAUACCAUUUUCCCUUUUUAUUUUGUUUAGAGAAUCACUUUUAAAUAAUAUUGAUUUUUUGGUCAUGUGUUUAAUUUUUAGAGAGAUUUUUCUGAUUUAUUUAUGGUUUUGUUUUUAUCUUUUGUAUAGAUAAACUAUGUUUUUGAAAAUAAAAAAUAUUAUUUUAUAAUGAUAUUUUUAAUAUAUGCAGCCUACAUGUUUAUUCAUUUUUUAUUUAAUUAAUUUAAUAUAUUUGUCUAUUUUUAUUAUUGUUUAAUUAAUUAGAAAACAUGGUCAGGUAAAUGUUUUAUUUUUCAAGAUUAAAUAUCUUGAUUUAUAUCUAUUUUUUAAUUUUCAAGUUUUGUUUUUAGGUGGUAUUAAUAAUUUUUAUUUAUUUAUUAAUGCAUAUAAUUUUUAGUUUAUUUAAUUACAUAUAUGUAUAAAUUUUUUAAUUUAUUAAAUUUUUUGAACAACAAAAAUACAUUAAAAAAAUAUGCAUAUAUAUUGUUUUAUAAGAAAAUAAAAUAUUUAACUCACAGCAAGCACGGUUAACAUAGCUAGUUGGUUCUCAAACCAUGAUUGGAAGUGUAUGGGCUUUAAUUUCCUGGGAGCCCAAUUGCAUUUAACCUUGAAAUCGAUUAGAUCCAUAGGCCGCCUGUAUAAUAAUGGAUUAAGGGCCUAGCAAAUAGAUUAUGGGUUAGUUUAGAAUUUACUAUUACUACUUUUUUUUUUUCUUUCAGACAAGAAAUAUUGUAAACUGAAGUGUUUAAGAUGUAAGAUAUUGAUUUAAUAAUUACCUCUAAAUUAGUAUUUUGGACAGCCAUGGAAGGUAAUGGCUGUCCAAAUAUCAUAAGGUAAACUUUUAACUUCUAUUAAUCUCUCAUGAAACAUAAUCCAAGCCAUACACAUGUUAGAUAUGUUAUAAAUUUAUUUUAAAAACAUGGUUCAUCAUUAAUUUUCAUGAUUAAAGCUUUAUUGAAAAUUAUUCUUUAACAAAAAUAUAUUGACAUGAAACCUUAUUUUUUUAAAAUAGAUUAUGGAUGAACUCCUAAUUAAAUAUAUAAAAAAAAACUCCUGAUUAAUGUUUUAUAAAUAUAAAAAUCCUUCACCUCACAUAAAAGAGGAAUACAAGAUUAUUUUUAUAGUUUAUAUAAUAGAAUGUUUAAGAGUUCAAAUUAUAUUUGUAGGGUAUAAAACUUUAAAAAAUAAGAGGUUUUAGGCUAAAUGAACUUUAUAUUUAAUUUACACGGGCUUCUUAGCUUGGGCCUAAGAUAAUGUAUGUUGUAAAGCAAUUUUUUAUGCUCAUAAAAAUUAUUUUUCAAGGUAGCAUAUGAAUAAUUUAUGAACAAUUAUCUUUCUUUAUUUUAAGAGUUUUAUUUUUUAUGUGGAGAAACUGUGGUAUUAUUUUUUAUGAUGGAUAAUUAAAAAUAAUAAACAGUGAAGAUUAAUCUUGGUAGUUCCAUAAAAAUUAUUUUUGAGAUAGCCUAUGAACAAUUUGUCUCAACAACUUAAUCGAUAAUUAAAGUUGAUAAAUGAUAAGAAUUAAUUAAUUUUGCACCCCUUUAAUUCUAAAUUCUAGUAUAAAUAGGGAAUGAAAAUGGAGUGUUUUCCAGCAAAUAAGGUAGAUGAUUACAGUUUAUCAUAAUGGUAUUAACUAUCAAAGAACUAGUAUCAUUCAUGCAGAGUAUUCCAUAUCAGAUCACUUAAUUAAAUGCAUUUUCAAUCAAGCUGAGUGAUUCCAAAGAAUAAUCAGACAUGGAAGAUGAUUCUCCACAAGUGUUCAUUGGUUUCUCAUCUAGAUUUAGAAUAGGUUUCGGAGGCAGUUGCAGGCUUUCCAUGUCUCCUUCAAGUAUCUCCACAACUUUGUUCAUUGCGGGCCGAUUCAGAGGGUUCAUUUAUAUACACCACAACCCUGCAAUAACCAUCUUCUUGACUAUCUUUUGUUCUUCUUCUGUGCCACCAUCUCCAAUAUCUAUAGCCUUCUCAUUAGAGACUUGGUCAUGAACCCAAUCUGGCCAGUAAAUUUCGCUCAACCUUUCAGCCAAUGGAUUCAAAUUUUUUCUUCUGCCUGUCAUUUCCAACAGCAACAUUCCAAAGCUAUAAACAUCAGCUUUGUAUGACACGCGCCCGAUGUUCUUGUAGAACAGUUCUGGCGCCAUGUAGCCUAUCGUUCCCCCCGCUGCAGUGAGAGAUUUAAGAGUCUCAUUUGCUGGGCACAACCUAGCAAGCCCAAAGUCAGAAACUUUUGGAGCGAAGUUUUCAUCGAGUAGAAUGUUGUGAGGCUUGAUGUCAAAAUGUAGGAUCUGCAUCUCACAACCUCGAUGUAGAUAUUGGAUGCCAUGAGCCACUCCAAGGGAAAUCUCAUGCAAUUUUUCCCAGCUUAAAGAGACAGAUCUUUCUUGAGAAAAAAUGAAAUUAUUAAGAGAUCCAUUGGGCAUGAAAUCAUAUACAAGAGCGCGUUUUGAUCCCUCAGCACAAAAACCAACUAGUUGCACUACAUUAGUGUGAUGAAUUCUUCCAAUGGUAGCGACUUCAUUGAUGAAAUCUUGUCCAUUAGCCUUGGAUUUUCCCAGCAAUUUUAUCGCUGCAGAAUGUCCACUGCGAAGCUUUCCUUUAUACACGCAUCCAAAACCUCCUUCACCCAACUUUUCCUUGAAACCUCUGGUCAUCUUCUUAAUCUCCGAAUAAGAAUACCUCACGACUGGCAUAAGAUUGUUAUGAGUGUGUAGGAAUUUCUCAACUGUGUCAUAUGCUGAUAGAUGUCUUCGUCGCCAUUUAUAGAUCAAGAAUGCAAACACAAACGGACUCCCAAAAAUAAAUUUUGUCCCUGUGCGUGAAAUUUGAGGGAAAGAAAAUUUAAGAGAGGAAUUGUUAUUCUUUUUUAUUAAUUAACAGAGAUAGAUAAAUACUCAACAUGGGUUACGUUAGGCGUUAGGAUUACUUUGCCGAGUUGAAAAAUCAUCUAAAAUCUAGACCAUCAUGAUUUGUAGAAAAGCAUACUCUUGACCAAAAGGUAUGUUUCAGACAUUAGGCAACCCCCCAACCCCGAGAACUUGGCAUAAGAAGACAUUUAGGAAUUAUCAUUUUGUAUCUGCUAAUAAAAUAUGAUCCAAUAUCAUAGCUUUAAAAAAAUAUAAAUAAUCAAUAAGGGAAGUUCUUACAAAUGAAAAUGGAUGCAUACAGCAGGACGGCUGCAGAGAAGGUAAACAAAUUAGAGAUAUUAUAGUAAGAAUUAUUUGGAAUUACGGAAUCAAGCAAGAUGAAGUGGGGAAAUAGAAUCCUCACCUACGGUUGUCCAGAACCAAGAACCUCCUGUUGGACCAAGAGAUCAGUUAAAAAGAUUAGAUUUGUGAUUUGAGAAAAUAUAUAACGGAGGUUAUUACAAGAUGACAGAAAUUGAGAAGAAACAAAUGAAUGACUUAGCAAAAUUAUCUAUAUAUAUAUAUGAUAUGACCAUCUGCAGCCUAUGAUAGCUUGAUUGAGCUGACCGUACGAUAAUAGGCUGCAGAAAUGGGGAAAUCAUGCAAAGAAAUGGGAGAUUGGAAGCAAUCAUCUAUUAUCUAUAUGAUAUCACCAACUGCAGCCUAUGAUAGCUAGAUUGAAUUGACUGGGAGUUCCUCGAUACUACAAUAGGCUACUGAAAAUUGCCCACCUGCGCAUUUUGUCUGGUUCGAAUCAUCGAUGUAGCAAAUAGUUGCACAGCUUCCACACUUGCUCUUGUGCCAUGAAAGCUCAAACCCAUAUGCCAGCUGACUGUGAAUUUCCUUAAAGGAUGUAUUCUUGUAAUCCUUGGCUGGCAACAACGUCAUCCUCUCUAAGCUGCACAGUUCCAUCAAAUCCGAGGCCUUCAUGCCACCAAUAUUCACAUAUGAAUGCGUUGAGAGAGAACCAUUGGAAGAUUCUGCUCCAUUAAGGCAAGUACCGGUAUCUACGUACAGAGGAGAAUUCACUGGAUUUGCACAGUUUAUAAAAAUAAUCUUCUGCGAUAAUGAGAGACGCUUGAAAUUGGUAUCCCAUUUCGGCCAUGUCUUUUUGUAUUGAAACGAUGUAUAUGGAUUCAUGGAAUUAUCCAGGUUUGCAUAUGUUAAAGAAAAACUAGGAAGAGAAGAGCAAUCAUUUAAUUUAACACCAGCGUCCACCAAUCGUAUUGUCAAGUUGUUGUAGUUGAUUGCCUGGACGUAGUGUUUUCGUGAGUCUAAAUACAAUACAGUGGAGGUAUUUUUCUCGCAGUGGAGGGUAUAGAGAGGGUUUCCACAGUUAGAUGGAUCACUGUUUAGGCUAAAGGGGUAGCUAAUAGUAUGGUUGCCACAUGAAGAAGGGGCACAGAGAGUCGUAUCCUUGCAGUUGCAGGUUUGGAGGACUAGCAGGGGGAGCAGUAAGGCAAGGUAGCCAGCAAAGAGGAGCCUAGACAUGGGUGGAGAAAGAGUGUAGUGCAUAAACAAUUCUUCUAGUCUUGAGAAGACAACAGGUAAAGUCAGUGAAACAUAGAAGAAGUAGAAACCUAAAGGCGAGUUUUGCGAAGUGAGAGUGCCAUGAUCAGAAUACUAAACUUGCUGCGAUUUUUCUAAAAAAAUUAGCGAAGCAAAACAAACAAUUCGUGGGAAUAGCAUAUUUUUAACUUUUAGCGAUUCAUAGUCAUGAUAUUUAAUAAACAUAGUUAUUCACAAGCACGAUAACCUAUAUGUCAUGUUUUUAAAUUGUAGUGUAAUUUACUUACCCCUUCUUCUUCCUCGGAUCACUUAACACACGAACACACUAACUGUGUUGUUGCGUAAAAGUUUUAAAUAUUAUGUGAAAAUAGCACAAUUGAUCCAAUGACUGCCAGCCACCAAGUCAUUCUUAAUUUGAGAUGUCAAAGUCAAAAUAAUAUUAAGAAACAGGGGGGGGGGCGGGGUUUCUUUCUCUCUUCCUCUUGAUAAAAAUGAAUAAACAGGAGAGACGGUGGGUUGGUGAAAAGUUGAAUGCAUGCCCAUCAUAAUUAGUCCUUCAAUUAACAGAUUGGCCGUGGGCUUUCCGUUGAUGUCCGAGGGGAUUUCUUUGUAAUUAUGUUAUUGUGUUUCACUGUAGUUGAAACUUGAAAGGGUUUUAAUUAGCUGCAGUGAGACAGUUUUUUUUUUUUUUUUUUGGAAAAGUUUCUUUGCGAAAAAAGCCAAAGACCAACCCAAAACUUCCAGGAAAGUCCAAGCUCUGCUCUGUCCCCUGGAAACAAGAAAGAAAGUGAGGGGGCAAUAAUCUUUUUUUGUCACAGAACUAACACGGUGGAUGCGAAUUUGGAGCACAUUAUUUAGGCAAGAAGAUUUUAAAAACAACUCCAAUGUCAUAAAACGAAGGUAUCCUCGCUGCUUCCAUCUGAGUUUACAAUUAUUGCAUGUUCAUUGCAGAACUUGGAGUGUGUCUAAACUGCACAGGACCUUGUGGGAACCGUGGCCUCGACAUCCGAUUUCCAUUCUUGCAGCCAGACCAGUACUGUGGCUAUCCUGGGUUUGAUCUAUCUUGCAAUGAGAGGGAUGAUAUAGUGCACGAGCUGCCGAGUGAUCCCAACUUGGGUUUCACUUAUGACUGAGGUUGCUACUGCUUUAACUACUUUUGACUAAAAUAAAGCUUUAGCCUUCCGCCAAGGGGCAACGGAGAGUAGUAGAAGUUAAAACCUAAAGGCCAGUUUUUCAACUUGAGAGUUUCGUCAGCAUGUUAAGAUUACCAAAUCAUCCUUUGAAAUGCCAAAGUCAUAAUAAUGAAGCGAAGACAACAUGAUAACCUUCUUGGCGAUAACUUGUGACAAAAUUCGAAGACCAGCCCAAGUCUACGCUUCCCUCCUCUUUUUCUUCGAAAGUGGAAAGAAAGUAAGGGUGCAAUAAUCCUAGUUCACAGGAACUACGUACAAAUUUGGACGCAAGAGACGUAAAUUUUGAGCUCUUAAUUUAGGCAAGUAAAACGUAGGUAUCAGAGUUACCGUCGAGCACUGCUGUCAUAAAAAAGAAGGUAUCAGAGUUACCCUUGCAGGCCCCAUCUGAGUUUACUAUUGUUUCUGCAAUAUCUAGAUACUGUUAGGUCGAAACUGUAUCACCAUAGGAGGCAAUGAUGAGAGGUUCAACAAAAAUGGCUAUAUGCUUGUUCUAUUUCAUGUUCAUUGCAGAACUUGGAGGAAGUCUAAAUUCCACAGGAUCUUGUGGGAACCAUGGCCUCGACAUCCGAUUUCCAUUCUGGAUCAAGGAUAGGCAGCCAGAACAGUGUGGCUAUCCUGGUUUUGAUCUGUCUUGUAAUGAGAUGGGCGACAUAGUGCUUGAGCUGCCAGAUGCAGUGAAACUCUACAUAGCAAAGAUCGACUACAAAAGUCAAGUUAUUCAUGCAACAGAUCCCCAAGGUUGCCUUCGAAGCCACCACUCAAACUUCUAUUCGUCCGGGUUUCACAUACAGUUUAAGAUGUCCAAGGACAAUUUUACCAUCUUCAAUUGCUCUUUAAAUAAUGCAAUAUCUCGGCCUAGGAUCGCUUGUCUCAGCACUCACCAAUAUGACGUUCUUGCCGUUGAUUCAGAGCAAUCUAUUGAUGACAAUGAGCUAUUAUCUUGUACCAAGAUGUACGACCUACCUUAUCAACGUGAUAUCCGCCUGUCUUGGUCCAAUCCCAAUGGUGUAAAUUGUGAAGAAACUGGAAAACAAUGUGGAUUGAGGAUAAAUAGCAGCUCUGAGCUUGAAACUGAAUGCUAUGGCUUGCCCAGGCCAAAAAAAGGUAUUUUUAGAUUCAAGUCUUCUUUUUCACUGUUCUGUGUUUAUGGCUCCUUGAUUUUCUAGGAUUUUUUGCUUUAUUAAGUUCUUGUUUCUAUAAAUUCAUGACAUUAUAGUGACUUCAGAAACUUCCUGAAAAUGAGAACCUAACAAGUAACAAGGGUUCUUAUCUUCUGCAGGUGCACGGAAAAGGAAUCUGACUAUAGGUUAGUUGUUCUCAAAUUUACUCCAACUCUUUGCUUCCAAAAAAAAGAUCAGUUACUUCACUCAAAAGGCUUAUUUAUAUGUGCAGGUGUAACCACAGGAUCCAUCCUUUUCGGGGUUGUGGUCAUUGCAGUCUACCAAAUCUAUAACUUUAGAAAAUCAGAAGAAGAAUAUCAGGCAAAGGUUGAAAGGUUUUUGGAUGAUUACAGAGCUAUGAACCCCACAAGAUACUCCCAUGCUGAUCUCAAAAAGAUGACAAAUCAAUUCAGGGAUGAAUUGGGGCAAGGAGCUUAUGGAACUGUGUUCAAAGGAAAGCUAACCAGUGAGAUUCCGGUGGCUGUUAAGGUUCUAACCAAUUCAUCAGAAAAAGGAGAGGAAUUCGUCAACGAGAUGGGAACAAUGGCUAGGAUUCACCAUGUCAAUGUAGUCCGCUUGAUUGGCUUCUGUGCUGAUGGAUUUAGACGAGCUCUGGUUUACGAGUACUUGCCACAAGAUUCGCUGCAGAGGUUCAUAUCUUCAGCAAACGCCAAGAAUGUUUUCCUUGGCUGGGAAAGGCUGCAUCAUAUUGCCCUCGGAGUAGCCAAAGGGAUUGAAUAUCUUCACCAGGGUUGUGACCAAACAAUCCUCCACUUUGAUAUCAAACCACAUAAUAUCCUGCUGGACAAUGACUUCAAUCCUAAGAUUGCAGAUUUCGGUCUGGCUAAGCUGUGUUCCAAGUAUAAAAGUGCUAUUUCCAUGACAACAGCUAGGGGAACGGUCGGCUACAUAGCACCUGAAGUGUUCUCAAGAAACUUUGGGAAUGUCUCCUACAAGUCAGACGUGUACUGUUUUGGAAUGUUAGUGUUAGAAAUGGUUGGUGGAAGGAAAAAUGUUGACGAUACAGCAGAAAACGGUGAUCAAGUAUACUUCCCAGAAUGGAUUUAUAAUCUCUUAGAAGAAGGAGAAGACCUGCGGUUCCAAAUCGAGGAAGAAGGGGAUGCUGAAAUAGCGAAGAAGCUAGCCAUUGUGGGACUGUGGUGCAUCC